AGAGUUUGAUCAUGGCUCAGGACGAACGCUGGCGGCGUGCUUAACACAUGCAAGUCGAGCGGAAAGGCCCUUCGGGGUACUCGAGCGGCGAACGGGUGAGUAACACGUGAGUAACCUGCCCCCUUCUCUGGGAUAAGCCUGGGAAACUGGGUCUAAUACCGGAUAUGACAUGUUCUCGCAUGGGGAUGUGUGGAAAGUUUUUCGGUGGGGGAUGGGCUCGCGGCCUAUCAGCUUGUUGGUGGGGUGAUGGCCUACCAAGGCGACGACGGGUAGCCGGCCUGAGAGGGCGACCGGCCACACUGGGACUGAGACACGGCCCAGACUCCUACGGGAGGCAGCAGUGGGGAAUAUUGCACAAUGGGCGGAAGCCUGAUGCAGCGACGCCGCGUGAGGGAUGACGGCCUUCGGGUUGUAAACCUCUUUCAGCACCGACGAACCUAGACGGUAGGUGCAGAAGAAGCGCCGGCUAACUACGUGCCAGCAGCCGCGGUAAUACGUAGGGCGCAAGCGUUGUCCGGAUUUAUUGGGCGUAAAGAGCUCGUAGGUGGCUUGUCGCGUCUGCCGUGAAAGCCCAUGGCUUAACUGUGGGUCUGCGGUGGAUACGGGCAGGCUAGAGGCAGGUAGGGG
This 627-nucleotide ribosomal RNA is filed under the name uncultured soil bacterium. Its description in RNAcentral is "bacterial SSU rRNA". It matches the Rfam family "Bacterial small subunit ribosomal RNA", at positions 8 to 657 of the family's 1533-position model. The record is from RNAcentral.